UUCGCAUGGAGCAGUGUGAAAAGCGUAAACGGUAUACGAUGGACCCGCGUCUGAUUAGCUAGUUGGCGGGGUAGAGGCCCACCAAGGCGACGAUCAGUAGCCGGCCUGAGAGGGUGACCGGCCACAUUGGGACUGAGACACGGCCCAAACUCCUACGGGAGGCAGCAGUGGGGAAUAUUGCACAAUGGGGGGAACCCUGAUGCAGCGACGCCGCGUGAGUGAAGAAGUAUUUCGGUAUGUAAAGCUCUAUCAGCAGGGAAGAAAAUGACGGUACCUGACUAAGAAGCCCCGGCUAACUACGUGCCAGCAGCCGCGGUAAUACGUAGGGGGCAAGCGUUAUCCGGAUUUACUGGGUGUAAAGGGAGCGUAGACGGUUAUGCAAGUCUGAAGUGAAAGCCCAAGGCUCAACCAUGGGACUGCUUUGGAAACUGUAAAACUGGAGUGCAGGAGAGGUAAGCGGAAUUCCUAGUGUAGCGGUGAAAUGCGUGGAUAUUAGGAGGAACACCAGUGGCGAAGGCGGCUUACUGGACUGUAACUGACGUUGAGGCUCGAAGGCGUGGGGAGCAAACAGGAUUAGAUACCCUGGUAGUCCACGCGGUAAACGAUGAUCACUAGGUGUCGGUGGGUAGAGACCCAUCGGUGCCGCCGCAAACGC
RNAcentral lists this ribosomal RNA (655 nucleotides) under uncultured bacterium. RNAcentral's name for it is "bacterial SSU rRNA". It matches the Rfam family "Bacterial small subunit ribosomal RNA", at positions 185 to 858 of the family's 1533-position model. The record is from RNAcentral.